This 360-nucleotide ribosomal RNA is filed under the name uncultured bacterium. Its description in RNAcentral is "partial 16S ribosomal RNA". It matches the Rfam family "Bacterial small subunit ribosomal RNA", at positions 338 to 695 of the family's 1533-position model. The record is from RNAcentral.
CCUACGGGAGGCAGCAGUGAGGAAUAUUGGUCAAUGGGCGCGAGCCUGAACCAGCCAAGUAGCGUGAAGGAUGACUGCCCUACGGGUUGUAAACUUCUUUUAUAAAGGAAUAAAGUGAUGCACGUGUGCCUUUUUGUUUGUACUUUAUGAAUAAGGAUCGGCUAACUCCGUGCCAGCAGCCGCGGUAAUACGGAGGAUCCGAGCGUUAUCCGGAUUUAUUGGGUUUAAAGGGAGCGUAGGUGGAGUGUUAAGUCAGUUGUGAAAGUUUGCGGCUCAACCGUAAAAUUGCAGUGGAAACUGGCAGUCUUGAGUACAGUAGAGGUGGGCGGAAUUCGAGGUGUAGCGGUGAAAUGCUUAGAU